UAUUUUCCAGAAAUUAGUUCCUCGCUCGUGGCUCGCGUUUCUUCCAAAUCACCUCAAAAGCACGGUGUUUAUGAGCCUACCUUAUCCGAUACUGCAAUGGAAUUCCGGAUAUUUGCAGACAGAUCUCCCGGCUUUGCAAGUGUUUGAUGAGAUACGUUCGGAAUCCCCUUUUUUUUCUAGAGCCCGGUUCCAGGCCGUAGAGCAAGCCGACCUGGGGCUGCGGCCCCUGCCCCACACCCGGGCCGCGCGCCCGGCCCGAGGCCAGCACAGGACGCAGCCCCUCCGGGGCCGGGGCUAGCGGGGGCCGCUCGGGCUGCGGGCCGCUCUGCAACAGGUCACCCUGACCGCGACUCCGCGGGUUCGCGGGCGGCCAACUCUGCGGCCAGGCUUCUGGGCGCAGCCGCCAGGGCCAGGGGAGGGGGUGUGGCCCGGCUUCUGCUGGUCCUGGCUCCGAGGUCCGGGAUCGGGCUCACCUGAAGGGAGGCUGAGGCGCCGCUGGGCGCCAGAACAGAGCGGGCGGAGGCUUGGGGCUUCCGCCACCCAAGAGGGAGAGCGAGGCGGGUUCAAGGGGUCGCAGCGCCCCCGGCUUCAGGACGGCGCCCCCGAGCGGGGACCCCACUCUGGGCUCCGACUCUGAGAACCCGCGGCCGAGGGAGGCGCGCCCCCCAGCGCCCUUCUCCCUCAGCCUCAGCCCCAGCUCCGCAGCCCCCUCCCUGCGCGCAGGGCGAGCAGCCCCGGGGCCCGCGGCCGGGAGAGCCACACUCCGCAGCGCCGCCGCCGCCAUUCCCCGCGCCGCCCGGGGGGCGCCGCGUACCCACCCUCCCUCCCUCCCUCCCUCCCCCCCCGCACCGCCCCGCGGCCUGAGCCCACCGACCUGUGCAGCCGCGGCCGUCGCCUCAGAGGAUGGAAAGACGAUGCCGACCUCACGCUUCACCGCCACGGCCGCCGCCGCCUAGAGUAGCACUCGUCGACCCGAACAGUCACCGUCUCUCAUUCAGCGCCCGCAGCCGCAGCCGCCGCCGCCGCCGCCGCUGCCGCUCGGGGGAGGAGAGUGAGCUGGAACCACCCCGUCCGCGCCAGGGGUGGGGGACGAGAGCGGACCUGGCGGGGGCGCGCGCCAAGCGGGCGGGGCGGAGCCGCGCGCGCGCGCACCAACGGAGCGCGCUCGCGGGGGCUCUGAGAGCUGCAGCCGUCAGGGUCUUAACCUCGCGCUUCCCGCCCGCAGCUUUUCGGCCCCGCGGAGCCCAACUGCCGCCGGGGAUCGGUGCCCGCAGCGCGCGCAGCCAUCCGCAACCCCACCGCCCGGCGCCUGCUGAAAGGAGGGGCUCCCACCGGCCAAACAACGGGGGGGAAGGGGUGGGAGGAUGGACAGGUGGGGCGUCCGCCACCGCCUGGCCACCCGCUCCCAGAACGCGGCCCUCUGUGAAAUCCGCCGUGAUGUCUGUGGCCUUCAGCGCCGGGCUCUUCACCUUUAAGGCCAGAGAACAAAGUCUGGAAGCACUUGGCCCCAAGAUCAAAUAUCCAGCCCACGCCAGCGGUGUUUUUAGAAGUCACUGCGGACAAAUGAGGGGGCUCCAAAUGUGGAGAGUCACCCCACUGCCUUAGAUAAGGUCAUAAAUUAUGGUGAUCAACAUCCUCACACAUUAAGAUUCGGGAAGUGUUAGAAGUAGGCCUUUGUAAGAUGUUACGCAGGGUACUACCCUUGACUUAAGGAGCAAAUGACAGAAAUUGGGCGGAAAGGUGUUGUUUCAGAGUCUACUAAAUGGGUGGCCUACUUAAAGCUAGCACCAUUUGAUGCAGUGUGACUAUUAACGGAAGGUUUUAAGUGAGCCGCCUUUGUAUCUGCUGUCAUUAGACCAUUUGGAAAUGGAUAAUUAUUUGAUGAUCUGCAGUUCUUUCUCUAGGCAAUGUGCAGUAGAAUGUGGAAAGAAUACUAUGUACCAGCAUUAAGUGUAAAACAUGAAAGGACCAAUAAUUCACUAUUCCC
This 1987-nucleotide non-coding RNA is filed under the name Pan troglodytes (chimpanzee). The record is from RNAcentral. Lineage: Eukaryota; Metazoa; Chordata; Mammalia; Primates; Hominidae.